RNAcentral lists this ribosomal RNA (497 nucleotides) under uncultured bacterium. RNAcentral describes it as "partial 16S ribosomal RNA". It matches the Rfam family "Bacterial small subunit ribosomal RNA", at positions 28 to 507 of the family's 1533-position model. The record is from RNAcentral.
GAUGAACGCUGGCGGCGUGCCUAAUACAUGCAAGUCGAGCGAACAGACGAGGAGCUUGCUCCUCUGACGUUAGCGGCGGACGGGUGAGUAACACGUGGAUAACCUACCUAUAAGACUGGGAUAACUUCGGGAAACCUGAGCUAAUACCGGAUAAUAUAUUGAACCGCAUGGUUCAAUAGUGAAAGACGGUUUUGCUGUCACUUAUAGAUGGAUCCGCGCCGCAUUAGCUAGUUGGUAAGGUAACGGCUUACCAAGGCGACGAUGCGUAGCCGACCUGAGAGGGUGAUCGGCCACACUGGAACUGAGACACGGUCCAGACUCCUACGGGAGGCAGCAGUAGGGAAUCUUGCGCAAAGGGCGAAAGCCUGACGGAGCAACGCCGCGUGAGUGAUGAAGGUCUUCGGAUCGUAAAACUCUGUUAUUAGGGAAGAACAAAUGUGUAAGUAACUAUGCACGUCUUGACGGUACCUAAUCAGAAAGCCACGGCUAACUACGUG